RNAcentral lists this ribosomal RNA (118 nucleotides) under Iningainema tapete BLCC-T55. The record is from RNAcentral. Lineage: Bacteria; Bacillati; Cyanobacteriota; Cyanophyceae; Nostocales; Scytonemataceae.
CCUGGUGCUUACGGCGCGGUGGAACCACUCUGACCCCAUCCCGAACUCAGAGGUGAAACGCUGCAGCGGCCACGAUAGUUGUCGGGUUGCCGACUGCCAAAAUAGCUCAGUGCCAGGG